GAGUUUGAUCCUGGCUCAGAUUGAACGCUGGCGGUAUGCCUAACACAUGCAAGUCGAACGGCAGCACGAGAAAGCUUGCUUUCUUGGUGGCGAGUGGCGGACGGGUGAGUAAUACUUAGGAAUCUACCCAGUAGCGGGGGACAACUCGAGGAAACUCGAGCUAAUACCGCAUACGCCCUACGAGGGAAAGCAGGGGAUCUUCGGACCUUGCUUGCGCUAUUGGAUGAGCCUGCGUCCGAUUAGCUAGUUGGUAAGGUAAAGGCUUACCAAGGCGACGAUCGGUAGCUGGUCUGAGAGGACGAUCAGCCACACUGGGACUGAGACACGGCCCAGACUCCUACGGGAGGCAGCAGUGGGGAAUAUUGGACAAUGGGGGCAACCCUGAUCCAGCAAUGCCGCGUGUGUGAAGAAGGCCUUAGGGUUGUAAAGCACUUUCAGUGGGGAGGAAAUCCUAUAGGUUAAUACCCUAUAGUUUUGACGUUACCCACAGAAGAAGCACCGGCUAACUCUGUGCCAGCAGCCGCGGUAAUACAGAGGGUGCGAGCGUUAAUCGGAAUGACUGGGCGUAAAGCGCGCGUAGGUGGUUAUUUAAGUUGGAUGUGAAAGCCCAGGGCUCAACCUUGGAACUGCAUCCAAAACUGGGUAACUAGAGUACGGUAGAGGGAGGUAGAAUUUCAGGUGUAGCGGUGAAAUGCGUAGAGAUCUGAAGGAAUACCAGUGGUGAAGGUGGCCUCCUGGACUGAUACUGACACUGAGGUGCGAAAGCGUGGGGAGCGAACAGGAUUAGAUACCCUGGUAGUCCAUGCCGUAAACGAUGAGAACUAGCUGUAGGGGCUUAGAGUCUUUAGUGGCGUAGCUAACGCGUUAAGUUCUCCGCCUGGGGAGUACGGCCGCAAGGUUAAAACUCAAAGAAAUUGACGGGGGCCCGCACAAGCGGUGGAGCAUGUGGUUUAAUUCGAUGCAACGCGAAACACCUUACCUACACUUGACAUCCAGAGAAUCCUUUAGAGAUAGAGGAGUGCCUUCGGGAACUCUGUGACAGGUGCUGCAUGGCUGGCGUCAGCUCGUGUUGUGAAAUGUUGGGUUAAGUCCCGUAACGAGCGCAACCCCUAUCCUUAGUUACCAGCGGUUCUGUCGGGAACUCUAGAGAGACUGCCGGUGAUAAACCGGAGGAAGGCGGGGACGACGUCAAGUCAUCAUGGCCUUUAUGGGUAGGGCUACACACGUGCUACAAUGGAGCGUACAGAGGGUUGCGAAGCCGCGAGGUGGAGCCAAUCCCAGAAAACGCUUCGUAGUCCGGAUUGGAGUCUGCAACUCGACUCCAUGAAGUCGGAAUCGCUAGUAAUCGCGGAUCAGCAUGCCGCGGUGAAUACGUUCUCGGGCCUUGUACACACCGCCCGUCACACCAUGGGAGUGGGCUGCACCAGAAGUAGGUUGCUUAACCUUAGGGAGGGCGCUUACCACGGUGUGGUUCAUGACUGGGGUGAAGUCGUAACAAGGUAACC
This 1505-nucleotide ribosomal RNA is filed under the name uncultured prokaryote. RNAcentral's name for it is "partial 16S ribosomal RNA". It matches the Rfam family "Bacterial small subunit ribosomal RNA". The record is from RNAcentral.